CAGCCGCCACGGGAAUACGAAGGGGGCUAGCGUUGUUCGGAAUUACUGGGCGUAAAGCGUGCGUAGGUGGUGGUUUAAGUCCGUUGUGAAAGCCCUGGGCUCAACCUGGGAAUUGCAGUGGAUACUGGGUCACUAGAGUGUGGUAGAGGAUAGUGGAAUUUCCGGUGUAGCGGUGAAAUGCGUAGAUAUCGGAAGGAACACCUGUGGCGAAAGCGGCUCACUGGACCAUAACUGACGCUGAUGCACGAAAGCUAGGGGAGCAAACAGGAUUAGAUACCCCCGUAGUCCCUGUCUCUUAUAC
This 301-nucleotide ribosomal RNA is filed under the name uncultured bacterium. Its description in RNAcentral is "partial 16S ribosomal RNA". It matches the Rfam family "Bacterial small subunit ribosomal RNA", at positions 509 to 807 of the family's 1533-position model. The record is from RNAcentral.